UACGUAGGGUGCAAGCGUUAAUCGGAAUUACUGGGCGUAAAGCGCACGUAGGCGGUUUUUUAAGUCAGAUGUGAAAGCCCCGGGCUCAACCUGGGAACUGCAUUUGUGACUGCAAGGCUAGAGUACGGCAGAGGGGGAUGGAAUUCCGCGUGUAGCAGUGGAAUGCGUAGAUAUGCGGAGGAACACCAAUGGCGAAGGCAAUCCCCUGGGCCUGUACUGACGCUCAUGCACGAAAGCGUGGGGAGCAAACAGG
RNAcentral lists this ribosomal RNA (253 nucleotides) under uncultured bacterium. Its description in RNAcentral is "partial 16S ribosomal RNA". It matches the Rfam family "Bacterial small subunit ribosomal RNA", at positions 524 to 776 of the family's 1533-position model. The record is from RNAcentral.